Molecule: ribosomal RNA, 510 nt
Filed under: uncultured bacterium
Lineage: Bacteria
Description: partial 16S ribosomal RNA
Rfam family: Bacterial small subunit ribosomal RNA
Source: RNAcentral
GACGAACGCUGGCGGCGUGCUUAACACAUGCAAGUCGAACGAAGAGCGAUGGAAGCUUGCUUCUAUCAAUCUUAGUGGCGAACGGGUGAGUAACGCGUAAUCAACCUGCCCUUCAGAGGGGGACAACAGUUGGAAACGACUGCUAAUACCGCAUACGAUCUAAUCUCGGCAUCGAGGAUAGAUGAAAGGUGGCCUCUACAUGUAAGCUAUCACUGAAGGAGGGGAUUGCGUCUGUUUAGCUAGUUGGAGGGGAUACGGCCCACCAAGGCGAGGAUCAGUGGCCGGUCUGAGAGGAUGGACGGCCGCAUUGGGACUGGGACACGGCCCAGACUCCUACGGGAGGCAGCAGUGGGGAAUCUUCCGCAAUGGACGAAAGUCUGACGGAGCAACGCCGCGGGAGUGAUGACGGCCUUCGGGUUGUAAAGCUCUGUUAAUCGGGACGAAAGGCCUUCUUGCGAAUAGUGAGAAGGAUUGACGGUACCGGAAUAGAAAGCCACGGCUAACUACGUG